AGAAGGUUACUCCUUCCUCCUCCUUCUCACAUACAUCUGCUCCUUCUCUCUAAAUUAUACAUUUUAUUUGCACUUAUAACUAUCUUUACCAUACAAGAUAAUGACUUGAGCGUCGGAGUGCCCUCGGGGUGAACCCCCUCGGGCCCUCUAACUAGAUUUUCAUGUGGCUGUAGUUCAAGACCCGACACCCCGCAAGAGGAACCGUCUCUGCGACGACGAGAAGACGAACCUGAACCGGAGGUCGCUGAAUCUAAGGUUAGUACCGCCAAGCCCUUCGAAUGACUUCAGGGAUUUGGGGAUUCGACAUUGGCGCCAUCCGUGGGACCGGGUACAAGCAUGUCUUGGUCUCUUCACACAAACGGCUGGACUUGCCCUCUCCGCGACGGCCAGGUCUGCAUUUUGACUUCGGUUAACAGGGUAACAACCGCACGCGACUCCCAAUCACAGGCAAGAUGUAAUCGGCGUUUGGGAAACGAAGCUCUAAUUGAAUGGAUUUUGGCUCUUGGUUAUCUUCUUAUUCAACAAUUGAUGUAACAG
Helianthus annuus (common sunflower) is the source of this 537-nucleotide long non-coding RNA. RefSeq lists it as uncharacterized. The record is from RefSeq and is a predicted model, not a curated record. The transcript has 2 exons. Lineage: Eukaryota; Viridiplantae; Streptophyta; Magnoliopsida; Asterales; Asteraceae.